Molecule: non-coding RNA, 30 nt
Filed under: Rattus norvegicus (Norway rat)
Lineage: Eukaryota; Metazoa; Chordata; Mammalia; Rodentia; Muridae
Source: RNAcentral
UAAUACGCCUGCCUCCCUAGAAUGAAGUCU